RNAcentral lists this ribosomal RNA (252 nucleotides) under uncultured bacterium. RNAcentral describes it as "partial 16S ribosomal RNA". It matches the Rfam family "Bacterial small subunit ribosomal RNA", at positions 524 to 776 of the family's 1533-position model. The record is from RNAcentral.
UACGUAGGUCCCGAGCGUUGUCCGGAUUUAUUGGGCGUAAAGCGAGCGCAGGUGGUUUAUUAAGUCUGGUGUAAAAGGCAGUGGCUCAACCAUUGUAUGCAUUGGAAACUGGUAGACUUGAGUGCGGGAGAGGAGAGUGGAAUUCCAUGUGUAGCGGUGAAAUGCGUAGAUAUAUGGAGGAACACCGGUGGCGAAAGCGGCUCUCUGGCCUGUAACUGACACUGAGGCUCGAAGGCGUGGGGAGCAAACAGG